CGUGUAGGCGGCCAGGUAGGUCGGUUGUGAAAACUGGAGGCUCAACCUUCAGACGUCGACCGAAACCAUCUGGCUAGAGUCCGGGAGGGGAGAGUGGAAUUCCUGGUGUAGCGGUGAAAUGCGCAGAUAUCAGGAAGAACACCCGUGGCGAAAGCGGCUCUCUGGAACGGUACUGACGCUGAGACGCGAAAGCGUGGGGAGCGAACA
RNAcentral lists this ribosomal RNA (207 nucleotides) under uncultured bacterium. RNAcentral describes it as "partial 16S ribosomal RNA". It matches the Rfam family "Bacterial small subunit ribosomal RNA", at positions 568 to 774 of the family's 1533-position model. The record is from RNAcentral.